AGCGGCAAAAGCUCAAAUUUGAAAUCCCCCCGGGGAGUUGUAAUUUGAAGAUUGCGUCUUGGAGGCGACCGUGUCUAUGUUCCUUGGAACAGGACGUCACAGAGGGUGAGAAUCCCGUGCGGCACGGCCCCCGGCUCCUUAUAAGGCGCUCUCGACGAGUCGAGUUGUUUGGGAAUGCAGCUCAAAGUGGGUGGUAAAUUCCAUCUAAAGCUAAAUACAGGCGAGAGACCGAUAGCGAACAAGUACAGUGAUGGAAAGAUGAAAAGCACUUUGAAAAGAGAGUGAAACAGCACGUGAAAUUGUUGAAAGGGAAGGGCAUGCCGUCAGAUUGUCAGUGUGGGUAAGAAGCGGGGUACAAAGACUGUGGAACGUGGCCCUCGGGUGUUAUAGCCGCAGUUCAUGCCCCGUCUCUUUCCGAGGCCUGCUUUGAGGACACCGACGUAAUGACGGUACGCCGCCCGUCUUGAA
Molecule: ribosomal RNA, 468 nt
Filed under: Kodamaea ohmeri
Lineage: Eukaryota; Fungi; Ascomycota; Pichiomycetes; Serinales; Debaryomycetaceae
Description: partial large subunit ribosomal RNA
Rfam family: Eukaryotic large subunit ribosomal RNA
Source: RNAcentral